RNAcentral lists this ribosomal RNA (264 nucleotides) under uncultured Thermovirga sp. RNAcentral's name for it is "partial 16S ribosomal RNA". It matches the Rfam family "Bacterial small subunit ribosomal RNA", at positions 1120 to 1382 of the family's 1533-position model. The record is from RNAcentral. Lineage: Bacteria; Thermotogati; Synergistota; Synergistia; Synergistales; Thermovirgaceae.
AACGGUAAGGGCCGGGCACUCGUGGAUGGACUGCCGGCGACAAGCCGGAGGAAGGUGGGGAUGACGUCAAGUCAUCAUGGCCCUUAUGUCCAGGGCGACACACGUGCUACAAUGGCCGGCACAGCGGGAAGCGAGGGGCGACCUUGAGCGGAUCCCUCAAAGCCGGUCUCAGUUCGGAUUGCAGUCUGCAACUCGACUGCAUGAAGUUGGAAUCGCUAGUAAUCGUGGAUCAGCCAAGCCGCGGUGAAUACGUUCCCGGGCCUU